Long non-coding RNA from Equus caballus (horse), 1815 nucleotides. The record is from Ensembl. NCBI's taxonomy places the organism in Eukaryota, Metazoa, Chordata, Mammalia, Perissodactyla, Equidae.
CUGUUGAAAACACAAAGUUGUAUCUUAAAACCAAGGGACCUCACAAAAGUAUCGAAGAAGUAGGCUUGGUUCCUGUUCCAGGUGUGUCCUCCCUGGAAAGCAGACAAUGAAACAGAAUUAGGAAGAUCUGAGAAGUGCAUGUCCGUGGAUGCCAUGGUUCCUCCGAGGAAAUGUCUUCUAAGAGAGCAGCAUGGAUGGGAAGUAGAAGAAGAGAAGUCGGAGAUCAGAAACAGGGGCGUGUUCAUUGUUGUCAAGAGUCAUCUUGAAGCCUAGCAGUGUUUUCAGCAAAAUGGUGCAUAAUUUGCUUCAUGUUUCCAUGAGGAUGUUUCAUCUUGUUUAUUGAAAGAGGAAGUACAGUUAAGUCCUGUCACCGCUGGGAACCGAUUCUGUACUACUCACUCUCUAGCAAUUCAAAGGAAAAGGAAGAGAAAACUGGCUAAGAGAAACAGAAAGGUGAGUUCUAGUAGUAGCUUUCAGGCAGGGGGAAAGGAGCAUUCCACUGUCGUUGAAGUAUAAGAAGGCCCUCUCUAGAAUUUUUGCAGAAUGGUCUAGAACAAUCAUUUGAGCCUAUAUAAUUCAUACAGGAAAAUAGGGAUAUAGGCAAAGCUGUUUCUAGUUUCUCUGACACCCGUGAUAGAGAGCCCUGUUUAGCACACCUAGUCUUAAAAAAAGAAUUUAGACUAAAAAUUGACCUCACACUUUUGGCUUCUGUAGGACACAAGCAGAAUCUAAAAUACAUUAAUAUGGCCAUGAGGAGGAAUGAAGAAGGAUGAGAGAGAGGGGGUAGUAAAAAAGCAACUCAGUCCAUUUCUCCACUGCAUCUAAGAGGAAUUUUCCUAGGCUGAGAUCCAAUGGCCGCUCUGAAAUCAGUCCCAACUCAAAUCAUGUGGCACUUCAUGGUACUUUAAUCUGGGACCUCUGCAUUGAUGUGGAAUAGAGGAAAUGUGUAUGUGAAUGGCCAGAAUGAUGCCACCACCCUUCUGGGAAGCUCCACUUUAUGCCACUCAGCCAAGGCCUCAAAGAUACAUGAGUAGUUACUUGGUUGACAUUAUUAUUAAUCCUGUUAAUAGUAAAUUACAUUUUUGACAUUGCAUAAGCUUUUAAUAGUGGAGGACUUCAAACAUAUGUAAAAUAGACAGCUGUGUAACGUGAGUCCCCACAUAGCCUUCACCUAUCUUUAACAAUUGUCAACUCAGGGCCAAUCUUCUUUCAUUUGUGCUCUACCCACUUCUCUACUUUCCAUAUGAUUUCAAAGCAAAUCCUGGCUCUCAUAUCAUUUCAUCCAUAAGUGUUUCAGUAAAUUUCUCUGAAACAGAUUGGCAAACUCUGGCCCGUGGAUCAACCUCCUGUUUUAUAAAUGAAGUUUACUGGAACACAGCCACGCCCUUUUGUUUACCUAGUGUCUAUUGGCUGUUUUCCCAGACAGAGACCCUAUGGUCCACAAAGCCUAAAAUAUUUACUAUUUGGCGCUUUAAGAAAAAGUUUGCUGACCCCUGUGCUAAAAGAUAAAGACUUUAAAAAACCUAACUACAAUAUCAUUAUCAUACCUCGAAAAUUAACAAUAAUUUACUGCAUGGUAACUUAAAAUUGUUUAGGACUUUAUACCUUUUUUCAAUGCCUUCAUAUUUGUUAUCUCAUUUGAAUCUAGCAGCAACUCUGGAGAUAAAGAUGGAAAACCUUCAUGCCAUUUAAAUCCCUUUUAUAUAUGAAGAAAAAUGUAAUCAUAGAGAGUUUAAAAGCGAUUUCAUCAAAGCCAGGCAGCUAGUAAGCAAUUUGAAUAAGAUUCUGCCUCUGAUAUAUUGUGGUAAGGCGAGG